AAUCCUUCAUUUCUUCUUUCAUAAAAUCGUAUUUGAAAAUAAGCUAGAAGCUCAAGUUGGUGGAGAACUUUUGAGCUAUUCAAGAGUAAAGCAGCCUGUGAUACUUUGUGAAAAACAAUUAUGUUGACUAAUUUCAGUCUGAGGUUCUGAGGAUCUUGGGCAAGUCUUCAUAUGAACAAGUCAAGAACAAUUCAUGUCUGAAUAAUGUUUACAUCAGAGGGAUUACAAGCGGUCGGGUUGAUUAACAAAGAAACGAGCAGCAGCAAAAUGCACCUGCCGAAACCCCCCAACGUGGCGUGUGCGACCAUCACGAUCAAAGUCGUGAUUGGUCAGAACGGGGCCCAUCAUUUGUGUUUCACAAGUGUCUAGUUUGAUAUCUAGUUACAAAUUUUAAAUUUCAAGUAAACAAACACCUGGUUUUUCCUUUGACAGAAUCCGAAAGUUCCAAGAUGUGAAUCCUAACGCCGUAAACAUUGACACAGCUUGGCGAGCUCCCCAUUAUGUAAAUACCUUGUGAAAACAAACUUUGGCGCAUAAAGUAUUAAUGCUGUUUGAGAAAAAUCAGUUUUUGUUUGCUGUGUCUUUUGAAGCUAGUGUAACUCCUGGUCAUUCUAUAUGACUAUAAAAGCUCGUUGGAAUCAAAUGCUAAUCCCGACAUGUUUUUCUUGUUCAUUUAAACCUUUUAUAUACAUGUGGGAGCCCGAGAGAGUGGAAAGCUUUCAGGGCUUAAGCUUAAAUUGUUUGUCGUUCUCAUGCCUGCUCUCUGAAAAGUAUUUGGCCUGCUUGUAUUUGUAAGGUAAAAUAUACAUUGGUGUUCUUAAGCAUUUUCUUUCUUUUUCCCUUUAUGCCGGUUUAUUUGGUUUACAGAUAUAGAGAGCAGACCUGCUAAAGUUGGAUUGUUACUGUGAGAGAGCAGACCUACUGAAGCUGGAUUGUUUGACUUGCCACCUUGUAAAAAAUGUCUAUGGGAGUUGAUUUGCUAGGUUAGCCCCUGACUCAAGCUUCCAAAAGAAAAAAAAUAUUCUCAACCCAACUCAAUGGUAUUAAAACCCCAAAGAGCAUUGAAAAAAAGAAAAGAAAAGAAACUAAACAAACACAACUCACCAAAGCUUUCUCCAGAGCUGCAGGAGUCCAACUUAACCUCUGGAGUAUUUCUUGCUUUUAGUUUUGUCAUGAAUAAGAAGCAACUGCUGGGCACAAAUUUGUGGUACUUUAUUUUCCUCCAGUGGAUAUUACAUCCAUUAGCCGUACAUUGGCCAAUAGCAUUAAGCUACAUGAAAUUCAUCAAGGACGAAAUUUAAAUGGAUGUAGGAAAAGCUUAAAAAGAUUUUUCCAUAUGUCAAAGCUACAGAUCGGAACAAAUAAGUAUUUGUUUCUCAAGAGGUGAUUAUGUGUGAAAUGAAAUACAGGUGACCUUUGAACAAUGCUGGGGGUUAGGAGCACCAACCCCUGCACCGUCAAAAAUCCACGUAUAACAUUACAGUCGGCCCGCCUCAGCCUCCACCCACCCCAUCCAGGGCUUCAACCAACCACAUGUUGAGUAGCGUGGAGUACAUGUCUAGUGGGAAAAAAAAAAAAAAUCUAUGUAAAGUGGACCCAUGCAGCUCAAACCUGUUUAAGGAUCAACGGUAUUGUCAGUUAGCUUUUGAUGUGUAAGGAACUUCUCCACACCUAACCACCUUUAACUAGCUCAUGACUCCAUAAGCCUGCCUAUGGGAUAGGCUCUGAUGAAUGUUUCUUCUGAUGGGGACUGGAAGUGACUGAUCUCAGUUGAGUUCACCCACACAUCUAUGGUCAGCUGCUGGGUCAGUGAGGGACCAUCUGGUCAGAUGUGACCAAAGCAAGGACACCUGAGACCUCUCCCCAUGAGGCCUCUCAGCCUGGUCCAUUAUUGGGAUAAAACUUGCAUAUCUUUUCCAUUUUGAUUUAUUCAUUUAAAAUUUUUGUUUCUUUUUUUUUUUUUUUUCUUUUUAGGGUCACACCCACAGCAUAUGGAAGUUCACAGGUUAGAAGUCGAAUCAGAGCUGUAGCCGAAGGCCUACACCACAGCCACGGCAAUGAGGGAAAGCCACGUCUGUGACCUACACCACAGCUCAUGGCAAUGCUGGAUCCUUAACCCACUGAGCGAGGCCAGGGAUCAAACCUGCAUCUUCAUGGCUGCUAGUCUUAUUUGUUUCCACUGAGCCAUGACAGGAACUCCCUCCAUUUAUUUUUAAUCUGUCCAUAUCUAUAAAUUCCUCUCAUUAUUUCUUUAAUUUGUGUCGUAUUAGAAUAUUCCUAAGGGCAGCAUCCUCUCCUGGUUGCCUGAAUUUUCUGCAGACAGGGAGUAGAGAGAAAGCCAACAUUUCUCCUGACUUAUUUUCCAUAACUUUUAGGGUUAUUUUAUUUGUGUCUUUAAUUGUCAUCAGCCCCAAAUGUUUUCAGGAAGGAACCACAGUCCAAACAAAACUAACUGAUUCAUUAAUUAGAUGGUCAAAUGAUUAAAAAUUGAUGGCUAAAUGAAUUAGCAUUUUUAUUGGAUUUAUUGCCUUUAAUUUCUACUUCCCGUUUCCUGUACGUCUCAGAGAAGCUGACCCAUCUCUGGCAGUUUUGGCCUUAGAAACUUCAUCCCGAGGCCAACACAGACACUGCUGAUCGAUUCCACAGCCACAGCAGAAUGUGCCCCAGUUGUUCCUCACCAGUUAAUCCAGAAGCACAAAGCAAUAUUUUGAUACAACUGUUUGAAUGAGGCUGUUUGAGGCCCUCUACAGGACUCACUGGCAUUUGGGAGGGGGACAUGGCCCAAGAAUCAAGGUUUGAAAGCAUCCACUCAUCUCUCCUAAACAAUAAAUAUUCAAAUGCAUAUCAGAGCCCCUACUUCAGGCCAGGCCCUAAGGAGGAGACUAUGUGAGCAAAAUUGAGGCCAGCUCAGCCCUCCUGAGGCUCUGAUCAAAUUGGUAAGAGAACUGUUCAUUGUUAACCUUCCAACUUGGUCAAUAAAAGCUGUAAUGCGUGUUCUGAAGAGAAAGCAUUGAGAAGACGGGUUUGAGGACAGGAAAGAAAGGUAUAUAAUUGCAGUGGUUGAGAAUGGAGGUGCAGGUUGACCAGGAGAACAGACCAGGUUACCAGGGCCUAACAGACACCAUGAGGCUCCCAGGGAUUCUCCUCUAGCAGGGCUCAGCCACCCAGAUGCAGAGCUUUGGAUACUGCCAGGACCAGGUCAUACAAGUUGGUUUUGAUGAAAUUAUCAGGGCUUAAGGGAGUUUAAAACAUGGGCAGGAGGAAUUUCCGCUUGUGGCUCAGUGGUAAUGAGCCCUACUAAUAUCCAUGAGGGUGCAGCUUCAAUCCCUGGCCUUGCUCAGCUGGGUAAGAUCCAGCAUUGCAGUGAGCUGUGGUGUAUGUCAUAGAUGUGGCUCAGAUCCCGCUGGGGCUGGAGGC
Molecule: long non-coding RNA, 3417 nt
Filed under: Sus scrofa (pig)
Lineage: Eukaryota; Metazoa; Chordata; Mammalia; Artiodactyla; Suidae
Description: lncRNA (ENSSSCG00000051928.1)
Source: RNAcentral